UGGUUUGAUUCUGGCUCAGGAUGAACGCUGGCGGCAUGCCUAAUACAUGCAAGUCGAACGGAGUGAAGCCUUCGGGUUUCAUUCAGUGGCGAACGGGUGAGUAAUACGCAGGGAACCUGGCCAUGGCAGGGGGAUACACUCUGGAAACGGAGCAUAAGACCCCAUAGGCAGUAAGGCGGCAUCGCCUUACUGUUAAAGAAAGCUGAAAGGCUUUGGCGAUGGAUGGACCUGCGGUGCAUUAGCUUGUUGGUGAGGCAACGGCUUACCAAGGCGAUGAUGCAUAGCCGGCCUGAGAGGGCGGACGGCCACACUGGGACUGAGACACGGCCCAGACUCCUGCGGGAGGCAGCAGUAGGGAAUUUUCGUCAAUGGGCGCAAGCCUGAACGAGCAAUGCCGCGUGAGUGAGGAAGGUCUUCGGACUGUAAAGCUCUGUUGCCGGGGAAAAAGGGGAAAUGCAGGAAAUGGCAUUUCAUGGAUGGUACCCGGCCAGAAAGCCACGGCUAACUACGUGCCAGCAGCCGCGGUAAUACGUAGGUGGCGAGCGUUAUCCGGAAUGAUUGGGCGUAAAGGGUGCGCAGGCGGUCUGUUAAGUCUGAAGGCAAAGGGAUGAGCUCAACUCAUUUAUGAUUCAGAAACUGGCAGACUUGAGGACAGGAGAGGGCGGUGGAACUCCAUGUGUAGCGGUAAAAUGCGCAGAGAUAUGGAAGAACACCAGUGGCGAAGGCGGCCGCCUGGCCUGUGACUGACGCUGAGGCACGAAAGCGUGGGGAGCAAAUAGGAUUAGAUACCCUAGUAGUCCACGCCGUAAACGAUGAGGAGCAGGUGUUGGGAGUGAAAUCUCAGUGCCGAAGCCAACGCAGUGACUCCUCCGCCUGGGGAGUAUGCACGCAAGUGUGAAACUCAAAGGAAUUGACGGGGGCCCGCACAAGCGGUGGAGUAUGUGGUUUAAUUCGAAGCAACGCGAAGAACCUUACCAGGUUUUGACAUCGGAUGCGAAGGUGCAGAGAUGCGCUGGAGGCUAUCAUCCAGACAGGUGGUGCAUGGUUGUCGUCAGCUCGUGUCGUGAGAUGUUCAGUUAAGUCUGGCAACGAGCGCAACCCCCGUGGUAUGUUACUAACGCUUAGGGCGAGGACUCAUAUCAGACUGCCGGUGACAAACCGGAGGAAGGCGGGGAUGACGUCAAAUCAUCAUGCCCCUUAUGACCUGGGCUACACACGUACUACAAUGGCGUCUACAGAGGGAAGCGACCCUGAGAAGGGAAGCGAAACCGGAAAAGGGCGUCCCAGUUCGGAUUGAAGUCUGCAACCCGACUUCAUGAAGAUGGAAUCGCUAGUAAUCGCGGAUCAGCAUGCCGCGGUGAAUACGUUCCCGGGCCUUGUACACACCGCCCGUCAAACCAUGGAAGCCGGCAACGCCCGAAGCCGGUGGCAUAACCUUUUAGGAGUGAGCCGUCGAAGGCGGGGCCGAUGACUGGGGUUAAGUCGUAACAAGGUACCC
This 1498-nucleotide ribosomal RNA is filed under the name uncultured bacterium. Its description in RNAcentral is "bacterial SSU rRNA". It matches the Rfam family "Bacterial small subunit ribosomal RNA". The record is from RNAcentral.